Molecule: ribosomal RNA, 469 nt
Filed under: uncultured bacterium
Lineage: Bacteria
Description: bacterial SSU rRNA
Rfam family: Bacterial small subunit ribosomal RNA
Source: RNAcentral
CAAGUCGAACGGCAGCACGGGGGCAACCCUGGUGGCGAGUGGCAAACGGGUGAAUAAUACCUCGAGAACGUGUCCUGGAGUGGGAGAUAUCCCGGCGAAGACCGGAUUAAUACCGCAUACGCUCUGUGGAGGAAAGCGGGGGAUCUUCAGACCUCGCGCUCGAAGGGCGGCAGAUGGCAUAUUAUCUAUUUGGUGGGGUAAACGCCUCCCAGCGUCACUAUCUGUCUCGGGUCAGAGAAGAACACCACCCACUCUGGGACUGACACACGGCCCACACUCCUACGGGAGGCAGCUGUGGGGAAUUUUGGACUAUGGGGGCAACCCUGAUCCAGCUAUGCCGCGUGUGUGAAGAGCGCCUUCGGGUUGUAACGCACUUUUGUCGGGAAAGAAAGCCUCUUGGUUAAUACCUGACGGGGAUGACGGUACCAGAAGAAUACGCACCGGCUAUCUACGUGCCCGCACCCGCGGU